CCUACGGGAGGCAGCAGUGAGGAAUAUUGGUCAAUGGGCGCAAGCCUGAACUAGCCAUCCCGCGUGCAGGAUGACGGCCCUAUGGGUUGUAAACUGCUUUUAUACACCAAGAAAAACCCCGACGUGUCGGGACUCGACGGUAGUGUAUGAAUAAGCAUCGGCUAACUCCGUGCCAGCAGCCGCGGUAAUACGGAGGAUGCAAGCGUUAUCCGGAUUCAUUGGGUUUAAAGGGUGCGUAGGCGGCUUUUUAAGUCAGUGGUGAAAUCCUGCCGCUUAACGGUAGAAUUGCCAUUGAUACUGAAGAGCUUGAGUACAGUUGAGGUAAGCGGAAUGUGUAGUGUAGCGGUGAAAUGCUUAGAUAUUACACAGAACACCAAUUGCGAAGGCAGCUUACUAAACUGAUACUGACGCUGAUGCACGAAAGCGUGGGGAGCGAACAGGAUUAGAUACCCUGGUAGUCCACGCCGUAAACGAUGUUCACUCGCUGUUUGCGAUACACAGCAAGCGGCCAAGCGAAAGCAUUAAGUGAACCACCUGGGGAGUACGAUCGCAAGGUUGAAACUCAAAGGAAUUGACGG
Molecule: ribosomal RNA, 578 nt
Filed under: uncultured bacterium
Lineage: Bacteria
Description: bacterial SSU rRNA
Rfam family: Bacterial small subunit ribosomal RNA
Source: RNAcentral